UCGUUAUCUGUAAUGUAAGAAGAACUUGAUAGCAUGGAUAAUCCGAAGCAUAAUAGCUUGAAAGCUCUGGAAUGGGGUUCAUCCAUGAAACACAUAUGCCUGGCCAUCCGGAGAACAGAGCGGCAGCUGUGAAGGUUGGCUUCUGAGUCACCAUCACUGAAGUGGAACUAUUUGUACAAGUUCAAAGGCACCAAAGACCUUGGCAAUCAUCUGCCCUAGUGAAUGUCAAGACAUAGAUGACAUCACUGUAAACUGGUUCAGUCAUGGGAUUGGCGAGCCUUUUUGAAUACUUUGCCCAAGGUAGCAAUUUUGCAAUCCACCGUAGCUGAAGUAAGUAUAGACCUCAGCUCGCUCCAGCCUCCUUCUCGCUCCUCCAUCCAGCCCCACGUCCCCACUUGGGUGAAAACACUUUGCAUAUAAACAAACUCCUCUCAAAGACACCUCAACCUUGACAUUGCUUUCUCCCUUUUCCAAACUUGCUUCCUUUUAAAACACCUCGCGCUCUGCCAUGCUCCCACAUGAGGCCCAAUUAUCAGAAUAAUAAUUAACAGGCCCUCAUUAUUUCGGAUCAAACAAUGCCCCCCAUAAUGAAGCCAAGAAUAGCCAAUGUGAUCCCUUAAAAUGGGGCGCGAGUUUCCUUACACCUUGGGGCGUCUAAUCCACUGAAACCAUUAGGCACCGAGCUGCCCAUAACGGCCGGGAUAACAUUGAGUCAAGGACAGUUAAUGGGUGCCAGAGCACAGACCAAAGUGCUCCAAGCAUGUCAGUCAAGACUAACCGGAGGCUAAAACAUCAAAAUGCAGGUUGGAGUUUUGACAUUCCUGCAGGCUCUGAACGCCUCGCCAGUAAAUUUUUAAAGUCAAUAUCCCCCUUAUGCUCAUGAACACUCUUCUGUCUGAUGCGUGGGACUAAUGUGGAUCUGAUUGAACUGUGACUAAAGUAGGACUUUAAAGGCAGCUUUGAAUGUGUGGGGGGUGGAAAGGUUGUUUUUUUUUUCUCCUGUGUGUGUUUUCUUUCUUUUUUUUUUCUUCUUCCCCAGAAAGGACUGUGAUAAUAAUGAAGACCGUGUACACAGAUUAUCACAGGCUGUGUCUUUCGACUUCAAGGUUAUGUGAUUAGAAAAUUAGAAAAGCGACAAGAUUAGAAAAACCGCAGAACAUUUUGAAAGAAAGCUUUUUUACAAAUUAUCUGUGUGCAGGAUUUACACAGAAUCUGAUAGAUGGAUCUUCUAAUGUUUGGAAAUGGAUAAAUGCAACAAUGCAAAUAGGAAGAACUGCUUUGGGGCCCAUUCCUGGCAGAAGUUCAAAACCCAUAUUAAGUAUUCUAACGCGCUGAAUGCCUGUUACUUCUAUGUGUUUUUUAAAUUGCCAUGUACAUACAUAACACAAAAUACGACCAUUUUGUAAAUAAAAGCUAAAAAUAACAAUGAGAUUGUUGUU
Myotis brandtii (Brandt's bat) is the source of this 1439-nucleotide long non-coding RNA. RefSeq lists it as uncharacterized. The transcript is spliced from 3 exons. NCBI's taxonomy places the organism in Eukaryota, Metazoa, Chordata, Mammalia, Chiroptera, Vespertilionidae. The record is from RefSeq and is a predicted model, not a curated record.